AAAGACAAAUUAAAAAAAUCAAGAAUGCUGUCAUUAGCCAGCUAAUGAGCUGAACUCCACUGCUAUGAGGCAAUGUCCCUGGGUGAUUAUUUUAAAAACCAGCCCCAGUACUUUCCCAAAAUGGUAACCACAGCAUUUAUCGUAGCAAACAGCUUAACCACUAAGUUUAUCACACCCUGCAUUUGGGUCCUACCCAUGUUGUCAUCUAUCUUAACUCUGUCUCAAGCCUUUCAAACACUGCACCUCUUUUGAGCAACAAUAAUCAGGAAAUCUUUUGGUUAGUUCUUUCUCUCCCUUUUUCUUUUUUAAAUGGAUGCUCAUUAAGAAACUUUUUUUUCCUUUGGAAGGGGCACAUUUUUAGUUUCUCAUCUUGCAGUACUGCAUAUUGAAUGCUGGGCUAGGACACUGGUAGACAAGGAUUCAAACCCACACUCAGCCAUGGAAAACCCACUGCAUGACCUGGUCAAAGAAAGCUGUUCGAAAGAACACGGUACCAAUGGAAAAGGCAUCUACUACAGCUCCUUAUCCUCCAUCCAAAAAGUUGUGAAAAAUACUUUCCCUCAGUCAGGAGAAGCAAACCAGGCAUCGCUUACAGGACACAGCAAAGUAAGAAGGGGAUGUGAAAGGUGAGAGAAUUUAUCAUCAAAAUCCACUGAGAGAACAGGGAACUGAUUUACUAUGAAGGUGCUGCCAAUGUCAAUAGAAUAUGUAUGACUGGUGGGGGUAUGGAAGCCCAGGUAUUUUUUCAUCCUUGCUGUUAAGAGUUUAGGGCAUCCAACUACUCCUUGCUGAAUACAUUUCUCAAGCUCUACUGACAAGGUGCUGAUCAAUUUAUCUGGAUAUGACAUGAAGGCCACGUGAAGAAAAUACAUUGUGACUAAGGCAGCUUUGCUGAUUUGCAAGAAAGUAAUUGAUGUGAUCCUAUAGGAACAAAAAAGGCAGCACUAGUGACAGUGUUAAUAUAUGAAUCUAGUAACUAGGAAAAUGGGAUCUCAAAUCAGAAAUGAAAAUAAUACCAUUUACAGUAUGCAUGUCUGGCUGGUUUCACACUGUGCUAUUAUGUCCAAAAGCAAAAAUAGAAAAGAAACAUAAGCAAGCAUUUAAAAGGUGGGCAGAAUUCUGAGGUGGGCAGAAUUAGACAACUAUGAAUUUAAAUUACUCAUGACAAGAUUUUAAACAAAACUAAACAAAAUUUGCUCUGUUCUCUAGAAUUAGUCAGAAGCCACCUUCUAGGGAAAAAGAUUUUAACAUAGCUUUCCUCCAAACCUGCUGCUCCUCCAGAUGUGCUGCACUACAGCUCCCAAAAUCCCUGGAACUUUACUGGCUGGGUUAAGGGAAGAUGUAGUCCAAGACAUCUGAAAGGCAACAGAUUGAGGAAGUCUGAGAUUCUCACAAGAACAGAAAUAGUGUAGGAAUGAAGAUUCCACAAAGUCCUUUGAUGCCUUCCUCACUUCAUAUCAGGAGUGGCCUCCAUGUUAACUCGGCACAUUUUUUGAAGGACUUACCUGUCAAGCUAAGAGUCUAGAAACAAAUACCUUUAAUAAACAAACAAACAAACAAACAAUUUACCAUGCCCAUUAGGAACUUGCUUCUGUGUUUUCCCUUUCCUGGGGGUUGACUGGCAUGACGUUGAAGCAUUGUUUGUGGCCGUCUUUGUGUCUUCUGUUUCUUCAUCUUCUUCUUCCUCUUCUUCUUCAUCCUGAGAGCUUCCAAAAUAUACCAUGUUGCUGGGCAGCGCAGGAGAACCUGGUAACAAGCCAAAUACACAGAUGUCGCUGAACUGCAAACAACUCAUAUUAAAACCUGGCAUUUGGACAAUUCUGCGUGAGUGCUCAAGGAGGAUAUGAACAUUGGAGGUUUAGGGGUGCCCCCUGGUUCCCCAUCCCUUCUUCUAUAUUCUUAACAACAGCAUGGCAAACUGAAAGUGCAGCAGAAACUUACGGUGCAAUUUCUGAGCUGAAGCCUCAAAAAGGGAAAAGUGCCUGGCCUCUACUGGAUUAAAGACUGAAAAACCUCCUGAUUAAAAGGAGAAUUAUGUCUUGACCACUCAAGAUCAAGAAUACAGACAACCCCGGUUUGCCAAAAGCAACAUUUCAUUGCUCUUCAGAAUUAACUGGCAGAGUGUCCGCAAUAUUUACUGAAGUACAAAUCUGGACAGAAGUCAAACUUGAAUGUUACAACUGUGGCAGAAAUCAUUCCAGCCCAAGAAAUUUCUGUGUAAUUUGGGUUGUGGGUUGUUGGGUUUUGGUUUGGGGGGGGGGGAAGCUGGAUUCUUCUCUGUUAAUUAUUUGCCAAGCCUCCCUCUUCCCCUUUUCUGCUCUUUUCUUUUUUUCUCACAAUUAAACAUAGCACAGCUGUGUUCUUGAGAAACACUAAAACAAUUCUAGCUGUCACAGUGAUUUAAGGAUGAAGACAGGCCAAGAUAUGUAGGGCUAAAGCCUGACCCAGUAAACAUGUGGCGUGCCAAGUGCUACACUUUUGAAGGAUUAGAGGGUCCAAUCUACUGGCCUCAUAUCUGACAGGAGGCCUCCAUUAAAGACUACAUGUAGGUAAAAAGCCUAGAUAUGUUGCUUUGCCUUCACUUUAGUAUUCAUAAGACCUGACUUUGCAUGCCCGCCUCUAUGCCAACACAAAUGUAAAAUGACAUAUUUAAAGGCUGCUUUCAUACUUGGCAGUAUUAUGCAAAGGGCACACAGUGUAAAUGAGAAUUAGGUCUGUAGCUUUCAAGGGAGCAAGAGUAACUGUACAUACAGUGUAGCUUUCUGAGGAGUAAUGCUGGUGCCUCAAUAAACAGGAGAAGUGCUCAGUUGGGUCGAUUUAAAGGUUUCAUGCAAGACGAGGAACAGAAAGACAGACUGCCCUUCAAAGCGUGUGCCCUCCAUCAUUAGCGGACCAUGAACAGUCUGGUAUUAUGGAUGUGACAUAUAGCCCAAUUUCUUCUCCCCACCUCUCUAAAACAGCUAGUGAAAGCAGUGGAGCAUGGGACAAUUGUUUAUCCCUUCUGGGGGAAAAAUGGGGAGAAAGUUUGAGACUGUUUAUUCUUUGUGGGGUGGGAACAGGAAAUGAGGAGAGUUAACGUUACUCCUACACCUGUAAAAACCUCUUACUCCUUUACUCCUUACUCCUACUUCUGCUCCCCAGCCUUGGUUGCUUUGCAAGGCUGGUGUGUGUGUGUUUGUGUGUCUGUUUUAGCUUCCCCGUCCCUUCCUCAGUGUAAUAUAAUUUUAAAAAACUGUUGUUUGCAUGUACAUCAAAAAAUUGGUGUUUGCAUGUAUAAUAACAGGAAUAAGGAGUAACAAAAUAUAUCCCUAUCCCUACUCCUGUAAAAACAUCUUACUCCUUUACUCCUUAGUCCUAUUCCUACUCCUGAGCCCUGGUUUGACCAAAAGAUAACCCCUCCCCAAAUACCCCAAAACUCUUUUUUCCUUUUUCCACAGAAGUCAGAAAGUGGUGAAAAUAAUAAAAUAAAAUAAAAAAUAACAACAAUUAAAGGCAUAUAUUCUUCAACAAUAGCUCUGUAUAUUUUUAGUUAUUACAUGCAAGCUGGGUUUAGAGUCAUAGCCAUUUUAAUCUGGAAUAUCAGUAUGCAAAGGGACCUUGCAGGACCUUUGAAACUCACAGUGUGAGAGAAGUUUUGUACAGACCUCCUCAGAUGCACCAAGGGAACUGAUGCCCAAAAAGAACUUUUAUAAUCAAUCUGCUACAAGAUUCCUUUGCAUGCAGGUUGGGUGUGCAUGAUGGGAAUUGUUAUCCAUCUUCGAUGACUUCAAAAUAAUUGGAUCAAACUGUUUAUUUUAAAUUUCAGAGUAAAUGUAAAUAUACCAAUAAAGUGUGAGAAAUGCUGAUAAACAGUAUAUUCACAUUAAAAUUGUUGGGAUCAUGCACUGAUCACAAUAUUUGGCCUAGACUCUCAUCUGGACAUUUGAAAAGUGGCUCAAUUCAAUUUGGACUGAAUUGGAGGCACACUGGUUCAACUCAAAUCAUAGACCUUUAAAAAGAUGCAAAAAUCCAAAGCACUGUACCUUCUAUUAUC
Long non-coding RNA from Sceloporus undulatus (fence lizard), 4033 nucleotides. RefSeq lists it as uncharacterized. The record is from RefSeq and is a predicted model, not a curated record. The transcript is spliced from 4 exons. Lineage: Eukaryota; Metazoa; Chordata; Lepidosauria; Squamata; Phrynosomatidae.